Molecule: long non-coding RNA, 429 nt
Organism: Herpailurus yagouaroundi (jaguarundi)
Lineage: Eukaryota; Metazoa; Chordata; Mammalia; Carnivora; Felidae
Exons: 4
Source: RefSeq, a predicted model, not a curated record
CUUUCCCAGAGAAAACGUCACUGGAGUUAGCCAACAUGAGGUCCCUGACGAGACAGUGGUUUUAGCGAAAUGCUGAAGGUAGAACGUGGAUUCCAUAAAUUUAAGAAUAAAGCGGCGACAACUUAAAAUAUGAAAGCAUUUCCAUAUGUUGUCUCAUUUGAUCCUUGAAAUAACCCCACAAAGGAGGCAUCAUCAUUAUUUUACACACGAGAAACAGGCUCGGAGAAGGUAAAUGGUUUACCUUAGCACACUCAGCAGAGAUGGAAAUGGAUAGGACCUUCGCCAAAGGCUGCACAGAUACAGAGAACAAGCCAGCCGCCUCCAGGGUCAACGACUGUGUACAUUUGGCUCUGCUACCAGAUAAUCAGUGGAGGGAGUAUCGUUAUCCGAUUCUAUGUGCAUGCAGAAGACUGCCCGGGAAAAUACAAC